CCUACGUGGUGCAGCAGUGGGGGAUAUUGCACAAUGGGGGGAACCCUGAUGCAGCGACGCCGCGUGGGUGAAGAAGCGCCUCGGCGCGUAAAGCCCUGUCAGCAGGGAAGAAAAUGACGGUACCUGAAGAAGAAGCCCCGGCUAACUACGUGCCAGCAGCCGCGGUAAUACGUAGGGGGCAAGCGUUAUCCGGAUUUACUGGGUGUAAAGGGGGCGCAGACGGCGAUGCAAGCCAGGAGUGAAAGCCCGGGGCCCAACCCCGGGACUGCUCUUGGAACUGCGUGGCUGGAGUGCAGGAGGGGCAGGCGGAAUUCCUGGUGUAGCGGUGAAAUGCUUAGAUAUCAGGAGGAACAUCGGUGGCGUAAGCGCUUUACUGGGCCGUAAUUGACGCUGAGGAACGAAAGCCAGGGUAGCAAAUGGGAUUAGAUACCCUUGUAGUC
Molecule: ribosomal RNA, 440 nt
Filed under: uncultured bacterium
Lineage: Bacteria
Description: partial 16S ribosomal RNA
Rfam family: Bacterial small subunit ribosomal RNA
Source: RNAcentral